GGAGUCUGUGGCGAGGCUCUGUAAACCGGCGACUCGGUAGCUUGGACUAGAGGAUGGCUUGAGGUAGGGAGUACUGCUGCGGGAUCACCCAUGUUGAUUGGGUGUCCGCACUAAGCUUGGCAUCAAUAUGGCCACCCUUGGGGAGCUAAGGGCGUCCAGGUUGACUAAGGAGGUGUGAACCGGGCCAGGGGGGAAACCCAGCAGCCAAAAGCACCCGUGUCGAGCAGUAGUGGGAUCACGCCCGAGAGUGUGUGGCUCGUAGUAGCCUUACCAACACAGGCAAACUUAGCCUU
Molecule: non-coding RNA, 293 nt
Organism: Trichinella zimbabwensis
Lineage: Eukaryota; Metazoa; Nematoda; Enoplea; Trichinellida; Trichinellidae
Source: Rfam